RNAcentral lists this long non-coding RNA (2632 nucleotides) under Canis lupus familiaris (dog). Its description in RNAcentral is "lncRNA (ENSCAFG00030002640.1)". Lineage: Eukaryota; Metazoa; Chordata; Mammalia; Carnivora; Canidae. The record is from RNAcentral.
AUGCAUUUACCAUACCACAAAACUGCUUUUAAUAUUUAUUUAUUUAUUUAUUUAUUUAUUUAUUUAUUUAUUUAUGACACACAGAAAGAGGCAGAGGGAGAAGCAGGCUCCCUGCGAGGAGCCCACUGCGGGACUCAACCCCAGGACCCAGGAUUACGACCUGAGCCAAAGUUACACGCUUCACCAACCGAGCCCCCAGGGGCCCUUGAUGCACAGAAGGCCAGAAUUCUGAGCAGGGCUGCCGGGUGCCAGUGGCAUGUGGAGGACUGUGGCUGAGCUGCUCUGGUCCUCACUUCUCUGGAGCCAAAUGUAUCUAUAAACAUCAGGUUGGACCUAACAGAGCUUCAUGGAUACCUCCUUCUCCAGAGGUGAGCUGGUGGGAUCAUCAGAAAUGCCCAGAUGGGUUGCCUGCCCCCAGAGGGUGCCCAUGCAUAUGGUGGGCACCUCAUCCUGCAUGACAAGGGUGCCCUGAAGGCUAAGCUGACCUGGGUACAAAUCUGGCUUCAACCCCUCCUCAGCUGUGAGGACUUAGUAAGUCAUUUCAAGUCCCUGAAACUCAAUUCCCAUCUGUAAAAUGGAGACACAAAUGCUCCUCUCAUAAGGUGGUAAAAGGAAUGAAAUGAGAUUGGCUACGGAUGUGUAGGUAGAGCAUGCCAGAAGCACUCAGUAAAUAAUGGUGGUUUAUCAUCAGUAGCAGCAACUCCAUCGUGCUAGCCAUCCACCCACCACUGGCUGAUCCAUCCAUCGAUUCGUUUGCCCAUACGUCCAUUCAUGCACCAAUUCAUUUGCCCAUCUACCCAUCCAUCUGUCCAUUUAUCCACCCGCUCAUCCAUCAUCCUUCCAUCCAUCUGCUCCUCAUUCAUCCUCCUACCCAACUGUUUCCUUUCUUCACUAUUUAUAGAAUCAACAUUCUCCCUCUUCUCUCACCUCCAGAGAUUUUUCUAGCAUCUAAUCCCAACCUGCCCAGUACAAACUCUCUAUCCACCUCCCACCACUGACAGAGUCAGACCCAAACUUCAAACUUAGCUGGGUCUUCACCCUCUACAUCGGACCCAGCAGAGUCCUUGGGGCUUGUGUGCUGGAAGAAGAGGGCAGCUGCCCACUCUCACCCCUUCCCACUCCUCUCCAGCCAAGCCUAGACUGGCAACAUUGGAGCAGGGUGCCCUGCAGGCAACUGAUCAUGCAUUCAUUCAUUCAUUCAUUCAGGCAAUACAUGUUGGGCACCCACUGAGUGCCAAUCACUGCAUCAGCUGUGGAGACAGAGCAGUCAACAAAACAGAAUCUUUGGGAUCCCUGAGUGGCUCAGUGGUUGAGCGCCUAUCUUUGGCCUAGGGCAUGAUCCUGGAGUCCUGAGAUCGAGUUCCACAUCGGGUUCCCUGUGUGGAGCCUGCCUCUCCCUCUGCCUAGGUCUCUGCCUCUCUCUGUGUGUCUCUCAUGAAUAAAUAAAGUCUUAAAAAAAAAAAAACCACAGAAUCCUUGCCCUUGUACAGCUGGGGCCCUAAUGCAGAAGAUUGAAUAAACAAGCUAAGUGAGGAAUUAGAAUAUUGGGUGUCAUGGAGAAAAAUAAACCAGGGCGAAGGGAUGGGGUGCAGGAGUGCCAUUUUUGGUUGGACCACAAAAGUUUCACUGAGAAAACACCUGAGGGAGGUGAAGAAGGAGCCAUGAGGCUAUCUGGAGAAAGUGUGGUCCAGGCAGUGACAAUAGCAUGUGCAAAAGCCCUGAGGUAGUAGGACUUAUCUAGUGAGUUCCAGGAGAAGCCCAUGUAGUUGAGCAGAGAAAGCAAAAGCAAGACACGAGGAGGCUUGUGUCAGGGGUUCAUGGUGAGCCUUGAGGUCUUUGGAAGACUUUGCCUUUGUUUCUAGAUAGGGAGAGCCAUGGGAAGGUUUUGAGCAGGGGGUGCGGUGACCUGAGCUGACUUAGGUUUCAAAAGGGAAGCAGGAGAGGCUUCUGGAGCAAAUAAGUGAGCCUGACCAGCAAGCUCCUUUUGCUCCUCCCCCAAGACCGUGGGGUGGCUGGUGGUUGUAAUUGUGGAUUAAUCCUGAGGUAUCCCUGGGUGGCGCAGCGGUUUGGCGCCUGCCUUUGGCCCAGGGCGCGAUCCUGGAGACCCAGGAUCGAGUCCCACGUUGGGCUCCCGGUGCAUGGAGCCUGCUUCUCCCUCUGCCUGUGUCUCUGCCUCUCUCUCUCUCUCUCUCUCUCUCUCUCUCUCAAUCUGUGACUAUCAUAAAAAAAAAAAAAAAAUCCUGGACAGUGUUUGCCUCUCUGACCUGACUGAAGGGGCCUAAGGACAAAGCCUGUGUCUGUCCGGUCAUCCUAGCACUCAACGUGAGGUCUCGUGCACAGUAGGAGCUGGGGAAACAUUUACCAACAUCAAGAAGGGAAGGAGGGAGGAAGGGGUGAUGUGAACAGUAAUAAAUGAACUUGGGAAUGAAUGAAUGAGUGAGUGAGUGAGUGAGUGAGUGAGUGAGUGAGUGAAUACCCAAGGACAGAGGCUGGGGGCUCUGCUCCUCCUCUUCCUCUCAUUCUCCUGUUUCUUGACCUCUGAGGCCCCCACUGCCCACUUAUAAAAAGGGGGCAGUGCCCUCAACCCAGGGUUGCAGGCUGGGGCCCCUGGCAGCCUCAAGCUGUAGCCCUU